CCUACGGGAGGCAGCAGUGAGGAAUAUUGGUCAAUGGCCGAGAGGCUGAACCAGCCAAGUCGCGUGAGGGAAGACGGCCCUACGGGCUGUAAACCUCUUUUGUAGGGGAGCAAAGCGAACCACGUGUGGUUCAGUGAGAGUACCCGAAGAAAAAGCAUCGGCAAACACCGUGCCAGCAGCCGCGGUAAGAUGGGGGAUGCGGGCCUUAGCGGGUUUUAUUGGGUUAAAGGGGUGGGCAGGCGGAGGUGCAAGUCAGCGGUAAAAUUGCGGGGCUCAACCCCGUACUGCCGUUGAAACUGCAUCCCUUGAGUGCGCGAGAAGUAUGCGGAAUGCGUGGUGUAGCGGUGAAAUGCAUAGAUAUAACGCAGAACUCCGAUUGCGAAGGCAGCAUACCGGCGCGCAACUGACGCUCAUGCACGAAAGCGUGGGUAUCGAACAGGAUUAGAUACCCGGGUAGUC
RNAcentral lists this ribosomal RNA (459 nucleotides) under uncultured bacterium. Its description in RNAcentral is "partial 16S ribosomal RNA". It matches the Rfam family "Bacterial small subunit ribosomal RNA", at positions 338 to 795 of the family's 1533-position model. The record is from RNAcentral.